AGUGAACGCUGGCGGUAGGCCUUACACAUGCAAGUCGAACGGCAGCACAGUAAGAGCUUGCUCUUACGGGUGGCGAGUGGCGGACGGGUGAGGAAUACAUCGGAAUCUACUUUUUCGUGGGGGAUAACGUAGGGAAACUUACGCUAAUACCGCAUACGACCUACGGGUGAAAGCAGGGGAUCUUCGGACCUUGCGCGAUUGAAUGAGCCGAUGUCGGAUUAGCUAGUUGGCGGGGUAAAGGCCCACCAAGGCGACGAUCCGUAGCUGGUCUGAGAGGAUGAUCAGCCACACUGGAACUGAGACACGGUCCAGACUCCUACGGGAGGCAGCAGUGGGGAAUAUUGGACAAUGGGCGCAAGCCUGAUCCAGCCAUACCGCGUGGGUGAAGAAGGCCUUCGGGUUGUAAAGCCCUUUUGUUGGGAAAGGAAAGCAGCAGGUUAAUACCCCGCUGUUCUGACGGUACCCAAAGAAUAAGCACCGGCUAACUUCGUG
RNAcentral lists this ribosomal RNA (492 nucleotides) under uncultured bacterium. RNAcentral's name for it is "partial 16S ribosomal RNA". It matches the Rfam family "Bacterial small subunit ribosomal RNA", at positions 29 to 507 of the family's 1533-position model. The record is from RNAcentral.